Molecule: long non-coding RNA, 816 nt
Organism: Helicoverpa zea (corn earworm)
Lineage: Eukaryota; Metazoa; Arthropoda; Insecta; Lepidoptera; Noctuidae
Exons: 2
Source: RefSeq, a predicted model, not a curated record
UAUGUUUGGUUUUGACGUCUUUUCAAACCUAACGUUUAUAUUUAACAAGGUUUUUGUUCACCCAGGUAUUAAAUACAUCAUCUCCAAAAAAGGGAAUCAAUUGUUACUAUACGAUGAUUAUCCUCACUACAUACGGCGGAGACAGCAGAAUGGUACCAGUCACUGGGUUUGCACGUCAAAUAAAAGUAAAAUGUGUAAAGGGAAAGUUUCUGUUCACAACGAUAUCGUUUUGUUUUAUCAUCCUCAUAAUCAUCCUUCGCCCACAUAUUAUAUUUCUAGGGGAGUGUAUAUCAGAAUUAGUUAAUUCGUUUUUUUCUCGCACUGGCGGAUUUUCCGCACGGUUUUCCCGAGCUACACCGCUCGUUCCAUACGAGUGGUUUUUAACGACAAUUUUGUACGGGUAGUUGUCAAAUGUUUGUAAUAAAUUCAAUUAAGUAAAUAAUGUGAUACCUAUGGAAUAUCCUCCGUUAUUCAGUUUCUGCAGUUACUUUUCGUCAAUAUAUUCAUCAUCAUCUUCCUGCCCUGUUCCCAAGUCAUUUGGGGUCGCCGCAACAUGUCUUUUUCUUCCAUUCCUCUCUGUCAGACGUCUCUGUCGUUCGUCAAUAUAUUAUAAUUGAAAUAUGUAUAACUGUAUUCAUUCGUACCUACUAUGUUAAUUGAUAUCUUCUAUGUUCCUAAGUUAAAUAAUAUCAUAGUUAAAUAAAAUUAAUAUUGUGAUUAUAAAUAGUGUUAAUGUUUGCAUGCCGAAUGGUAAAAUGUGGCUGAGGUUUAUUAUUUUAAGACCUUUGUAUAUACCCAUAUUUGUCUCGAAAACAA